GAUGAACGCUAGCGGCAGGCUUAACACAUGCAAGUCGAGGGGUAGAAGGAGCUUGCUCCUUUGAGACCGGCGCACGGGUGCGUAACGCGUAUGCAAUCUACCUUUUGCAGAGGAUAGCCCAGAGAAAUUUGGAUUAAUACCUCAUAGUAUGUGAGGAUGGCAUCAUUUUCACAUUAAAGUCACAACGGCAAAAGAUGAGCAUGCGUCCCAUUAGCUAGUUGGUAAGGUAACGGCUUACCAAGGCUACGAUGGGUAGGGGUCCUGGAGAGGGGAGAUCCCCCCACACUGGUACUGAGACACGGACCAGACUCCUACGGGAGGCAGCAGUGAGAAUAUGGACAAUGGGCGCAAGCCUGAUCCAGCCAUGCCGCGUGCAGGAU
RNAcentral lists this ribosomal RNA (380 nucleotides) under uncultured bacterium. RNAcentral describes it as "bacterial SSU rRNA". It matches the Rfam family "Bacterial small subunit ribosomal RNA", at positions 28 to 409 of the family's 1533-position model. The record is from RNAcentral.